Non-coding RNA from Salmo salar (Atlantic salmon), 4188 nucleotides. The record is from RefSeq and is a predicted model, not a curated record. Lineage: Eukaryota; Metazoa; Chordata; Actinopteri; Salmoniformes; Salmonidae.
GUGAGCAGCACCUGUGUAACCUCACAGACAGGAAGAGCACCUGUGUAACCUCACAGACAGGAAGACAGUGAGCAGCACCUGUGUAACCUCACAGACAGGAAGACAGUGAGCAGCACCUGUGUAACCUCACAGACAGGAAGACAGUGUUCAACGUGCUUCAUUCAGAACAACCUUUGGUCCGACAGAAAACAACAUUCAUUCAAACCAUUAUGCAACCUCUCUGUUGGAGUUAGAGGCUGGGGACGAUGUUGACAGUGGAACACUUUGUAACCUCCGGACUAAACUGUUGCUGUUAGCAGGUACUAUGUCUUUUUGUAACACUGUCUAUGGGUUGUUUAGAACAAACAGUGGGACCUCUAAGAUGAUAGAGGGAGAGAGAGACACGGGACCAGAACAGGACAGUUCUUUUGUGUCAGUGUUUUUGGAGGAAAUGUAAAGGAUACAUUUUAUACAAAAGUGAAGCCGCUUCAAAUACCCAAAACCCCUUGUCCCCUGAGCCUUCCCAAUCCCAAACAUAUACCCAGCCCUGCCCAGCCUCUACACUCACGUCACCUGGUCUAACCUAUUCAUGACAGGAUAUACCCAGCCCUGCCCAGCCUCUACCCUCGCUUCACCUGGUCUAACCUAUUCAUGACAGGUUAUACCCAGCCCUGCCCAGCCUCUACCCUCACUUCACCUGGUCUAACCUAUUCAUGACAGGAUAUACCCAGCCCUGCCCAGCCUCUACCCUCGCUUCACCUGGUCUAACCUAUUCAUGACAGGAUAUACCCAGCCCUGCCCAGCCUCUACCCUCGCUUCACCUGGUCUAACCUAUUCAUGACAGGAUAUACCCAGCCCUGCCCAGCCUCUACCCUCGCUUCACCUGGUCUAACCUAUUCAUGACAGGAUAUACCCAGCCCUGCCCAGCCUCUACACUCACUUCACCUGGUCUAACCUAUUCAUGACAGGAUAUACCCAGCCCUGCCCAGCCUCUACCCUCACUUCACCUGGUCUAACCUAUUCAUGACAGGAUAUACCCAGCCCUGCUUAGCCUCUACACUCACGUCACCUGGUCUAACCUAUUCAUGACAGGAUAUACCCAGCCCUGCCCAGCCUCUACCCUCACUUCACCUGGUCUAACCUAUUCAUGACAGGAUAUACCCAGCCCUGCCCAGCCUCUACCCUCACUUCACCUGGUCUAACAUAUUCAUGACAGGUCUAACCUAUUCCUGACAGGUCUGGUCUAACCUAUUCCUGACAGGUCUGGUCUAACCUAUUCCUGACAGGUCUGAUCUAACCUAUUCCUGACAGGUCUGGUCUAACCUAUUCCUGACAGGUCUGGUCUAACCUAUUCAUGACAGGUCUGGUCUAACCUAUUCAUGACAGGUCUGGUCUAACCUAUUCCUGACAGGUCUGGUCUAACCUAUUCCUGACAGGUCUGGUCUAACCUAUUCAUGACAGGUCUGGUCUAACCUAUUCAUGACAGGUCUGGUCUAACCUAUUCCUGACAGGUCUAACCUAUUCAUGACAGGCCAGGUCUAACCUAUUCAUGACAGGCCAGGUCUAACCUAUUCAUGACAGGCCUGGUCUAACAUAUUCAUGACAGGCCAGGUCUAACCUAUUCAUGACAGGCCUGGUCUAACCUAUUCAUGACAGGCCAGGUCUAACCUAUUCAUGACAGGCCAGGUCUAACCUAUUCAUGACAGGCCUGGUCUAACCUAUUCAUGACAGGCCAGGUCUAAACUAUUCAUGACAGGCCAGGUCUAACCUAUUCAUGACAGGCCUGGUCUAACCUAUUCAUGACAGGCCAGGUCUAACAUAUUCAUGACAGGCCAGGUCUAACAUAUUCAUGACAGGCCAGGUCUAACCUAUUCAUGACAGGCCUGGUCUAACCUAUUCAUGACAGGCCAGGUCUAACCUAUUCAUGACAGGCCUGGUCUAACCUAUUCAUGACAGGUUUGGGUAAAUAACAGGAGAAAUGUGAUGACUAAAACACCAGAGAACUGGGGAGAAAAUAGGAGUCAACGUCAUAAACUGACUGACAUACAAUGAGUGUACAAAACAUUAAGAACACCUUCCUAAUAUUGACUUGCACCCUUUUGCCCUCAGAACAGCCUCAAUUUGUCGGGGUAUGGACUCUACAAGGUGUUGAAAGCGUUCCACGGGGAUGCAGUUGUGUCAAGUCAGCUGGAUGUCCUUUGGUUGGUUAACCAUUCUUGAUACACACGGGAAACUGUUGAGCGUGAAAAACCCAGCAACGUUGCAGUUCUUGACACAACGGUGCGCCCAGCACCUACUACCAUACCCUGUUCAAAGACACAUUUUUCUUGCCCACUCACCCUCUGAAUGUCCCACAUACACAAUCCAUGUCUCAAUUGUCUCAAGUCUUAAAAAUCCUUCUUUAACCUGUCCUUCACUGAUUGAAAUGGAUUUAACAAGUGACAUCAAUAAGGGAUAAUAGCUUUCACCUGGUCAGUCUAGGGGUGGCAGGUAGCCUAGUGGUUAGAGCGUUGGACUAGUAACCAAAAGGUUGCAAGAUCGAAUCCCUGAGCUGACAAGGUACAAAUCUGUCGUUCUGCCCCUGAACAAGGCAGUUAACCCACUGUUCCUAGGCCGUCAUUGAAAAUAAGAAUUUGUUCUUAACUGACUUGCCUAGUUAAAUAAAAGUAAAACGUAAUGGAAAGAACAGGUGUUUUUGUACACUCAUAAUGUUUUGUACACUCAGUGUAUAUGUAAAUAAAUGAAAUGUAUACACACAUUGAAAUGAAUUUCAAACCCAUUGAAGUGAAUGUAAUGUAUUUCAACACAGGGUAUUACAUUUGUAAAAAUGAAUCAAUCACUCACCACCAGCAUUUACUACAGGACUGAGUUCACGUCUCCGUGUUUCACAGCUGUGUUGUGAUUGGAUACGUUUUGCAGUUCUGGGCUCUCAUUGGAUGAUUUUGCCAGUUGUGGGCUUUCAUCUCACCCUGUGUCACUUGUUCUCAUUGAGUUAUUUGUUGUAAAUUGUCGCCAGCUGUUACUGUGUUAGACUGUCCUAUUAGGUCUCUGUUCUGUCUGUCACUCUGUCAGACUGUCCUAGCAGGACUCUGUUCUGACUGUCACUCUGUCAGACUGUCCUAGCAGGUCUCUGUUCUGACUGUCACUCUGUCAGACUGUCCUAGCAGGUCUCUGUUCUGUCUGUCACUCUGUCAGACUGUUCUAGCAGGACUCUGUUCUGUCUGUCACUCUGUCAGACUGUCCUAGCAGGUCUCUGUUCUGACUGUCACUCUGUCAGACUGUCCUAGCAGGACUCUGUUCUGACUGUCACUCUGUCAGACUGUCCUAGCAGGACUCUGUUCUGUCUGUCACUCUGUCAGACUGUCCUAGCAGGACUCUGUUCUGUCUGUCACUCUGUCAGACUGUCCUAGCAGGACUCUGUUCUGACUGUCACUCUGUCAGACUGUUCUAGCAGGUCUCUGUUCUGACUGUCACUCUGUCAGACUGUUCUAGCAGGUCUCUGUUCUGACUGUCACUCUGUCAGACUGUUCUAGCAGGACUCUGUUCUGACUGUCACUCUGUCAGACUGUCCUAGCAGGACUCUGUUCUGACUGUCACUCUGUCAGACUGAUCUAGUAGGACUCUGUUCUGACUGUCACUCUGUCAGACUGUCCUAGCAGGACUCUGUUCUGUCUGUCACUCUGUCAGACUGAUCUAGUAGGACUCUGUUCUGACUGUCACUCUGUCAGACUGUCCUAGCAGGACUCUGUUCUGUCUGUCACUCUGUCAGACUGUCCUAUUAGGUCUCUGUUCUGUCUGUCACUCUGUCAGACUGUCCUAUUAGGUCUCUGUUCUGUCUGUGACUCUGUCAGACUGUUCUAGCAGGACUCUGUUCUGACUGUCACUCUGUCAGACUGUCCUAGCAGGUCUCUGUUCUGACUGUGCUAGCAGGACUCUGUUCUGACUGUCCUAGCAGGUCUCUGUUCUGACUGUCCUAGCAGGUCUCUGUUCUGACUGUCCUAGCAGGUCUCUGUUCUGACUGUCCUAGCAGGUCUCUGUUCUGACUGUCCUAGCAGGUCUCUGUUCUGACUGUCCUAGCAGGUCUCCACAGCAUUCUGGGAGUACUGUUCUGUCUGUAAAGUCAAAUCCCCUGGUUGCUCGUUUUAUGUUUUCUAUUGUAAACAAUGAGAUGCUUUUGGAAUAAAAGUCUAAAGCAAAACAUUCCAGUUA